CAGGUUCUCCGGGCGCAGCUCCGCCAGAGCGGCGCCCCGGGCCUCCAGGCACUCCAGGGCCGCGCUCAGCUGCAGCAGCA
RNAcentral lists this microRNA precursor (80 nucleotides) under Pteropus vampyrus (large flying fox). RNAcentral's name for it is "miRNA (ENSPVAG00000029963.1)". Lineage: Eukaryota; Metazoa; Chordata; Mammalia; Chiroptera; Pteropodidae. The record is from RNAcentral.